UAUAACGAGAGUUUGAUCCUGGCUCAGAAUCAACGCUGGCGGCGUGCCUCAGACAUGCAAGUCGAACGAGAAAGUUUUCUUCGGAAAGCCAGUAAAGUGGCGUACGGGAGAGUAACACGUAAGUAAUCUACCUUUGGGUGGGGAAUAACUUAGGGAAACUUAAGCUAAUACCGCAUAAUGCAGCGGCUCCAUAAGGAGACAGUUGUUAAAGGAUUUAUUCGCCUAAAGAGGAGCUUGCGGCAGAUUAGCUAGUUGGUA
This 258-nucleotide ribosomal RNA is filed under the name Pyrinomonadaceae bacterium. Its description in RNAcentral is "partial 16S ribosomal RNA". It matches the Rfam family "Bacterial small subunit ribosomal RNA", at positions 1 to 254 of the family's 1533-position model. The record is from RNAcentral. Lineage: Bacteria; Pseudomonadati; Acidobacteriota; Blastocatellia; Blastocatellales; Pyrinomonadaceae.